RNAcentral lists this ribosomal RNA (250 nucleotides) under uncultured bacterium. RNAcentral describes it as "partial 16S ribosomal RNA". It matches the Rfam family "Bacterial small subunit ribosomal RNA", at positions 29 to 266 of the family's 1533-position model. The record is from RNAcentral.
AGCGAACGCUGGCGGCGUGCCUAACACAUGCAAGUCGAACGUGAAAGGGAGCAAUCCUGAGUAAAGUGGCGUACGGGUGAGUAACACGUAGGUAAUCUACCUUAAAGCCUGGAAUAACCUGCCGAAAGGCGGGCUAAUACUGGAUAGAGCGAAGAAUUUGUAGAGAAUUUUUCGGGAAAGGGAGCCUGAUAAGGGCCCUCACUUUAGGAUGAGCCUGCGUCCCAUUAGCUAGUUGGUAGGGUAAUGGCCU